GACGAACGCUGGCGGCGUGCCUAAUACAUGCAAGUAGAACGCUGAAGGAGGAGCUUGCUUCUCUGGAUGAGUUGCGAACGGGUGAGUAACGCGUAGGUAACCUGCCUGGUAGCGGGGGAUAACUAUGGGAAACGAUAGCUAAUACCGCAUAAGAGUAGAUGGUGCAUGACAUUUGCGUAAAAGGUGCAAUUGCAUCACUACCAGAUGGACCUGCGUUGUAUUAGCUAGUUGGUGGGGUAACGGCUCACCAAGGCGACGAUACAUAGCCGCCCUGAGAGGGUGAUCGGCCACACUGGGACUGAGACACGGCCCAGACUCCUACGGGAGGCAGCAGUAGGGAAUCUUAGGCAAUGGACGGAAGUCUGACCGAGCAACGCCGCGUGAGUGCAGAAGGUUUUCGGAUCGUAAAGCUCUGUUGUAAGAGAAGAACGAGUGUGAGAGUGGAAAGUUCACACUGUGACGGUAUCUUACCAGAAAGGGACGGCUAACUACGUG
RNAcentral lists this ribosomal RNA (495 nucleotides) under uncultured bacterium. RNAcentral describes it as "partial 16S ribosomal RNA". It matches the Rfam family "Bacterial small subunit ribosomal RNA", at positions 28 to 507 of the family's 1533-position model. The record is from RNAcentral.